Molecule: transfer RNA, 69 nt
Filed under: Podarcis lilfordi (Lilford's wall lizard)
Lineage: Eukaryota; Metazoa; Chordata; Lepidosauria; Squamata; Lacertidae
Description: tRNA.Ile
Rfam family: tRNA (bases 3-61)
About the family: Transfer RNA (tRNA) molecules are approximately 80 nucleotides in length. Their secondary structure includes four short double-helical elements and three loops (D, anti-codon, and T loops).
Source: RNAcentral
GAUAGCUCAGCUGGUUAGAGCAUGGUGCUGAUAAUGCCAAGGUUACAGGUUCGAUCCCUGCGUGAGACA